This is a long non-coding RNA of Aquila chrysaetos chrysaetos, 2395 nucleotides long. The record is from Ensembl. Lineage: Eukaryota; Metazoa; Chordata; Aves; Accipitriformes; Accipitridae.
GGCCAUACCAGCGAAAUUAAUUAAACAACCCCAAACCCUCAUUCAUUAGAAAUCUCUGAAUGACACAGAAAAGAUUCGUGUUGCACACAUUUCUGUCUCUAAAAUCGACAUUUUCUAACUGAAGAGAUUGUGCAAGACAACAGUUCCCCGCGGAAGAUAAUGUUACCUCUAGCUUACCUGCUCCGGUUCUUAAGGCAAGGGGCGAGAAACAGAACCGAUGUGCCUACCGCUGCCUUUCAGCCGUGGAAAGCAGCGGAUUUCAUAGCUCAUUAAAACGUGAUGGCCGUGACACGAUAAACGGCUUACGGGCGCUUGAACAAAGCGAUGCUGCUCUGGAGAAGCAUCGUGUGCAACAAAGUCAUCUUUCUGACAGCUCCUGCUUUUCAGCAGAGCUGCAGGAACGCCGGACUCGCUGGGAAAACGCUAACAAAGGAAAACCCGAAGGAACCCGAACGAACCAGCCCAGCCGCUGAAUUCCCCGGCAGCAAUCGAGAAGCACCUUCCGAAAAAAUCACCCGCGCGCCUCCUUCCACCUUCGGCCGAACAAAGGCAGCCGACCACCCGCCGGCAGAUCACAACAGAAGACGGACAACUUGGGUGUUCGGACUUUUCCCAUGAUUUAAUGUGUGCCCCACUGUGCUUUCAACUCACCCCAGCUGAGGACUAAAACAGGGCAUGAGAAUUCCACGAUCUUUUGAUCUUCCAGAAGGCGAGGACAGCACAGAAGCUUCUUGGAGCGGAGUCCAGUAGAGUCACGUUAAUAUCCUGACUCACAUAAGGCUUGUUUCAUAUGUGACGCAUAGGGUAGUCCCCAGAUUUAAGUCUUCUGCAUAUUUGUGCUUGUUUUGUACUUCAUGAAAUGGAAUACUUGAUUUUAAAGCAAAGUUGUAUAAAUAUUACUUUUCUUUUAUUCUAGUUGCUUACAAAAUUGUAUGUAAAAUAAUAGUAACAGAAGGUAAAAUAACAGCUUUACUGUAGUCUGAACAGUAGUAAUGUUUUCAUUUUAGAAAGCUGCACAGGCUUUGGUCACCAAAAUACCAGUUUUAUUAUACCACCUGUGCUCAACUAAUUCUUCACAAUUAAUAUUCAUGUAAGAAUUACUAUUAAUUGAAGUGUUAUGGUUUCAAUUGUAAUGUCAAAAUAUACAUUUUUACAGUUUUUCAAUAAAAUGGAACACUUGCUCUUUUUUUUUUUUAAAAUUCAGAUUCCAAUUUAGAAGGGCUUAUAUGCAAAAUAAGAUAUUUAAAAGUCACCACUGAAGGCAUCGAGAGCAGAACAUGAGUUCUUUUCUCAUUCUUACUGAACUGCUUCAUCCUGAAUAAUUAAUGUCAAUUAGCACCAGUGGAAACGACUGACUUAAUUACAAACAGUAUUAAUACAUAAGUAACAUUUAGAGAUGACGAUCUCCCCAUUCCUGUCACUGGCAAAUAAAGACCUAAAAAGUAAAAAGUAUGAGAUGCACCCACUUUAAAUAACCAAUUCCUUCCAAUGGCUCAGAAGCCUUAUAUGGUACAAGUAUUUUCAGGUACUUCUGAAUGGGUGUUCCAAGUUGUUUUUUAUUAGUAAAUUUAAUACAUAUAGACACAUAUUAAAUAACAAAACUGACAAAAUACAAUAUAUGAAAAAUAAAAUAUAUCUAUACAGCUUGUAACAGCAAUUAUUUAUCUAUGAAUGAGACAAUAUUUCCAGUUAACACAAUAUUCUUCAUAAUUUCUAACUGUAACAAUCUUAGACAAAAUCUAAAAGAAAAAAUUUUUUUUUUUUUCCCCAUGUCUUUUAAGAUGCUGUUUACACCUUAGAGAUGCUUGUAAUGUUAGCUGGUAAUCACAGUUUUUUAUUCAACAUUAGGCAAGCAGAACACUACCUGUUCACCACUGCAAGGAUGGACAACAAUACAUCCUCCCACUUCUAGUCCUCUGCAUGAUACCUACGAAUACAUAUCAUGUCAACCUGAAUGGUGUGUAAUCAUUAGAAAACGGUAUGUUCUUGAAUAGAAGAAUGAUUUGAUAUACAAUUAUCUGCAUAGAGGGACUUUAAGAUCAUAAGAUUGUGAUUGCUAAUCACAUCUUACUUUAUAGCCUAAAUUUUAAAUGCUCAUCUGCUAAAUACACCAGAUAUUUUAAAGAUUAGUUCUUACUGCAUUUACCUAAUAUGUGUGUCACAACAUAAAGGCCUGUGUCACCUCUCCAACAGCUUGAGCUUAACUUUGAGAAGGAUUCCAGGUUUGUUCUAAUCUUUUAAAGCCAAAAUUUGAAAAAUAUCUCCAGAUACAAUUAAAAAUUUGAAUAUAAAAUACUUUAGAAUUAAUUUUAUAUUUAAAGGAUUUCAAUACAUCUUUAAAGAUAUCAUUUUUCUCUUCACUUUUUAUUUAAUAUUGGGAUAUUUAAAAUGCAAU